RNAcentral lists this signal recognition particle RNA (264 nucleotides) under Anaerolineae bacterium. RNAcentral's name for it is "signal recognition particle sRNA large type". It matches the Rfam family "Bacterial large signal recognition particle RNA". Rfam says of the family: The signal recognition particle (SRP) is a universally conserved ribonucleoprotein involved in the co-translational targeting of proteins to membranes. Lineage: Bacteria; Bacillati; Chloroflexota; Anaerolineae. The record is from RNAcentral.
UCGUGCUAGACGGGGAGCUAGCGGUGCCCUGUACCCGCAAUCCGCUAUAGCGGGGUCGAAUUCCCUUUCGAGGGCUGAUGCGCCUGAGUCUACCAGGGUCAGAAGGUGUAGAAGAUUGGGUCCUGCGCGGCAGGAGCCUGCAAACCCCGCCAGGUCCGGAAGGAAGCAACGGUAAGCAAUCACUCCUGGGUGCCGCAGGGGCGCCUGGUCGGAGCCGGCUGGUUCUGGCAAGUCGGGUGGCACGGUUCGACAGAGGGUGCACGA